GAUGAACGCUGGCGGCGUGCCUAAUACAUGCAAGUCGAGCGAACAGACGAGGAGCUUGCUCCUCUGACGUUAGCGGCGGACGGGUGAGUAACACGUGGAUAACCUACCUAUAAGACUGGGAUAACUUCGGGAAACCGGAGCUAAUACCGGAUAAUAUAUUGAACCGCAUGGUUCAAUAGUGAAAGACGGUUUUGCUGUCACUUAUAGAUGGAUCCGCGCCGCAUUAGCUAGUUGGGAGGGUAACGGCUUACCAAGGCAACGAUGCGUAGCCGACCUGAGAGGGUGACCGGCCACAGUGGGACGGGGAGACGGCGCAGACGCCUACGGGAGGAAGCAGGGGGGAAUAUUGCACAAUGGACGGAAGCAGGAUGCAGCAAGGCCGCGUGCCGGAUGACGGCCUACGGGUUGGAAACCGCAUUCGCCUGUGACAAAGCGUGAGGGACGGUAAUGGGUAAAGAAGCACCGGCUAACGACGUG
This 477-nucleotide ribosomal RNA is filed under the name uncultured bacterium. RNAcentral describes it as "partial 16S ribosomal RNA". It matches the Rfam family "Bacterial small subunit ribosomal RNA", at positions 28 to 507 of the family's 1533-position model. The record is from RNAcentral.